CAAAGGAGCAAUCCGCUGAAGGAUGGGCUCGCGUCCGAUUAGGUAGUUGGUGAGGUAACGGCCCACCAAGCCGACGAUCGGUAGCCGGACUGAGAGGUUGGACGGCCACAUUGGGACUGAGACACGGCCCAGACUCCUACGGGAGGCAGCAGUAAGGGAUAUUGGUCAAUGGGGGAAACCCUGAACCAGCAACGCCGCGUGAGGGAAGACGGUUUUCGGAUUGUAAACCUCUGUCCUCUGUGAAGAUGAUGACGGUAGCAGAGGAGGAAGCUCCGGCUAACUACGUGCCAGCAGCCGCGGUAAUACGUAGGGAGCGAGCGUUGUCCGGAUUUACUGGGUGUAAAGGGUGCGUAGGCGGCUGUGCAAGUCAGUAGUGAAAUCCAUGGGCUUAACCCAUGAACUGCUAUUGAAACUGCACAGCUUGAGUGAAGUAGUGGUAGGCGGAAUCCCCGGUGUAGCGGUGAAAUGCGUAGAGAUCGGGAGGAACACCAGUGGCGAAGGCGGCCUACUGGGCUUUAACUGACGCUGAGGCACGAAAGCGUGGGUAGCAAACAGGAUUAGAUACCCUGGUAGUCCACGCUGUAAGCGAUGAUUACUAGGUGUGGGGGGACUGAACCCUUCC
This 622-nucleotide ribosomal RNA is filed under the name uncultured bacterium. RNAcentral describes it as "bacterial SSU rRNA". It matches the Rfam family "Bacterial small subunit ribosomal RNA", at positions 202 to 842 of the family's 1533-position model. The record is from RNAcentral.